AAAUUGAAGAGUUUGAUCAUGGCUCAGAUUGAACGCUGGCGGCAGGCCUAACACAUGCAAGUCGAACGGUAACAGGAAGAAGCUUGCUUCUUUGCUGACGAGUGGCGGACGGGUGAGUAAUGUCUGGGAAACUGCCUGAUGGAGGGGGAUAACUACUGGAAACGGUAGCUAAUACCGCAUAACGUCGCAAGACCAAAGAGGGGGACCUUCGGGCCUCUUGCCAUCGGAUGUGCCCAGAUGGGAUUAGCUAGUAGGUGGGGUAACGGCUCACCUAGGCGACGAUCCCUAGCUGGUCUGAGAGGAUGACCAGCCACACUGGAACUGAGACACGGUCCAGACUCCUACGGGAGGCAGCAGUGGGGAAUAUUGCACAAUGGGCGCAAGCCUGAUGCAGCCAUGCCGCGUGUAUGAAGAAGGCCUUCGGGUUGUAAAGUACUUUCAGCGGGGAGGAAGGGAGUAAAGUUAAUACCUUUACUCAUUGACGUUACCCGCAGAAGAAGCACCGGCUAACUCCGUGCCAGCAGCCGCGGUAAUACGGAGGGUGCAAGCGUUAAUCGGAAUUACUGGGCGUAAAGCGCACGCAGGCGGUUUGUUAAGUCAGAUGUGAAAUCCCCGGGCUCAACCUGGGAACUGCAUCUGAUACUGGCAAGCUUGAGUCUCGUAGAGGGGGGUAGAAUUCCAGGUGUAGCGGUGAAAUGCGUAGAGAUCUGGA
This 712-nucleotide ribosomal RNA is filed under the name Escherichia coli. RNAcentral describes it as "bacterial SSU rRNA". It matches the Rfam family "Bacterial small subunit ribosomal RNA", at positions 1 to 702 of the family's 1533-position model. The record is from RNAcentral. Lineage: Bacteria; Pseudomonadati; Pseudomonadota; Gammaproteobacteria; Enterobacterales; Enterobacteriaceae.